RNAcentral lists this ribosomal RNA (467 nucleotides) under uncultured bacterium. RNAcentral's name for it is "partial 16S ribosomal RNA". It matches the Rfam family "Bacterial small subunit ribosomal RNA", at positions 28 to 507 of the family's 1533-position model. The record is from RNAcentral.
GAUGAACGCUGACCGAAUGCUUAACACAUGCAAGUCCACUUGAAUUUGGGUUUUUAACUUAGGUUUGGGUGGCGGACGGGUGAGUAACGCGUAAAGAACUUGCCUCACAGCUAGGGACAACAUUUGGAAACGAAUGCUAAUACCUAAUAUUAUGAUAAUAGGGCAUCCUAUAAUUAUGAAAGCUAUAAGCGCUGUGAGAGAGCUUUGCGUCCCAUUAGCUAGUUGGAGAGGUAACGGCUCACCAAGGCGAUGAUGGGUAGCCGGCCUGAGAGGGUGAUCGGCCACAAGGGGACUGAGACACGGCCCUUACUCCUACGGGAGGCAGCAGUGGGGAAUAUUGGACAAUGGACCGAGAGUCUGAUCCAGCAAUUCUGUGUGCACGAUGAAGUUUUUCGGAAUGUAAAGUGCUUUCAGUUGGGAAGAAACAAAUGACGGUACCAACAGAAGAAGUGACGGCUAAAUACGUG